This 503-nucleotide ribosomal RNA is filed under the name uncultured bacterium. RNAcentral describes it as "partial 16S ribosomal RNA". It matches the Rfam family "Bacterial small subunit ribosomal RNA", at positions 30 to 523 of the family's 1533-position model. The record is from RNAcentral.
AUUGAACGCUGGCGGCAGGCUUAACACAUGCAAGUCGAGCGGGGUGAUGGUGCUUGCGCUAUCACUUAGCGGCGGACGGGUGAGUAAUGCUUAGGAAUCUGCCUAUUAGUGGGGGACAACAUCUCGAAAGGGAUGCUAAUACCGCAUACGUCCUACGGGAGAAAGCAGGGGAUCACUUGUGACCUUGCGCUAAUAGAUGAGCCUAAGUCGGAUUAGCUAGUUGGUGGAGUGAAGGCCUACCAAGGCGACGAUCUGUAGCGGGUCUGAGAGGAUGAUCCGCAACACUGGGACUGAGACACGGCCCAGACUCCUACGGGAGGAAGCAGUGGGGAAUAUUGGAAAAUGGGGGGAACCCUGAUCCAGCCAUGCCGCGUGUGUGAAGAAGGCCUUAUGGUUGUAAAGCACUUUAAGCGAGGAGGAGGCUCUUUUGGUUAAUACCCAAGAUGAGUGGACGUUACUCGCAGAAUAAGCACCGGCUAACUCUGUGCCAGCCGCCGCAGUAA